AGAAGAGUGGUCGAGUGGUUUAAGGCGUUAGUCUUGAAAACUAAUGUAUUUAAUUAAAUACCGUGGGUUCGAAUCCCACCUUUUCUA
This 87-nucleotide transfer RNA is filed under the name Sundstroemia setigera. RNAcentral's name for it is "Rhizosolenia setigera tRNA-Ser". It matches the Rfam family "tRNA". From Rfam's summary of the family: Transfer RNA (tRNA) molecules are approximately 80 nucleotides in length. Their secondary structure includes four short double-helical elements and three loops (D, anti-codon, and T loops). Further hydrogen bonds mediate the characteristic L-shaped molecular structure. tRNAs have two regions of fundamental functional importance: the anti-codon, which is responsible for specific mRNA codon recognition, and the 3' end, to which the tRNAs corresponding amino acid is attached (by aminoacyl-tRNA synthetases). tRNAs cope with the degeneracy of the genetic code in two manners: having more than one tRNA (with a specific anti-codon) for a particular amino acid; and 'wobble' base-pairing, i.e. permitting non-standard base-pairing at the 3rd anti-codon position. Lineage: Eukaryota; Bacillariophyta; Coscinodiscophyceae; Rhizosoleniales; Rhizosoleniaceae. The record is from RNAcentral.